Molecule: ribosomal RNA, 497 nt
Filed under: uncultured bacterium
Lineage: Bacteria
Description: partial 16S ribosomal RNA
Rfam family: Bacterial small subunit ribosomal RNA
Source: RNAcentral
GAUGAACGCUGGCGGCGUGCCUAAUACAUGCAAGUCGAGCGAACAGACGAGGAGCUUGCUCCUCUGACGUUAGCGGCGGACGGGUGAGUAACACGUGGAUAACCUACCUAUAAGACUGGGAUAACUUCGGGAAACCGGAGCUAAUACCGGAUAAUAUAUUGAACCGCAUGGUUCAAUAGUGAAAGACGGUUUUGCUGUCACUUAUAGAUGGAUCCGCGCCGCAUUAACUAGUUGGUAAGGUAACGGCUUACCAAGGCAACGAUGCGUAGCCGACCUGAGAGGGUGAUCGGCCACACUGGAACUGAGACACGGUCCAGACUCCUACGGGAGGCAGCAGUAGGGAAUCUUCCGCAAUGGGCGAAGGCCUGACGGAGCAACGCCGCGUGAGUGAUGAAGGUCUUCGGAUCGUAAAACUCUGUUAUUAGGGAAGAACAAAUGUGUAAGUAACUAUGCACGUCUUGACGGUACCUAAUCAGAAAGCCACGGCUAACUACGUG